UACGGAGGGUGCAAGCGUUGUUCGGAAUUAUUGGGCGUAAAGCGCGUGCAGGCGGCUGCGCAAGUCUGAUGUGAAAGCCCCGGGCUCAACCUGGGAAGUGCAUCGGAAACUGCGUAGCGUGAGUACGGGAGAGGGAAGCGGAAGUCCGAGUGGAGGGGUGAAAUCCGUAGAUCGUCGGAGGAAAACCAGUGGCGAAGGCGGCGUCCUGGAACGAUACUGACGCUGAGACGCGCAAGCGUGGGGAGCCAACAGGAUUAGAUACCCCCGUAGUCC
Molecule: ribosomal RNA, 273 nt
Filed under: uncultured bacterium
Lineage: Bacteria
Description: partial 16S ribosomal RNA
Rfam family: Bacterial small subunit ribosomal RNA
Source: RNAcentral